RNAcentral lists this ribosomal RNA (688 nucleotides) under Prevotella nigrescens. RNAcentral's name for it is "bacterial SSU rRNA". It matches the Rfam family "Bacterial small subunit ribosomal RNA", at positions 738 to 1429 of the family's 1533-position model. Lineage: Bacteria; Pseudomonadati; Bacteroidota; Bacteroidia; Bacteroidales; Prevotellaceae. The record is from RNAcentral.
UACUGACGCUUAAGCUCGAAGGUGCGGGUAUCGAACAGGAUUAGAUACCCUGGUAGUCCGCACAGUAAACGAUGGAUGCCCGCCGUUGGCGCCCUGCGCCUGCGGCCAAGCGAAAGCAUUAAGCAUCCCACCUGGGGAGUACGCCGGCAACGGUGAAACUCAAAGGAAUUGACGGGGGCCCGCACAAGCGGAGGAACAUGUGGUUUAAUUCGAUGAUACGCGAGGAACCUUACCCGGGCUUGAAUUGCAGUCGCUGCCCACAGAGACGUGGGCUUCCCUUCGGGGCGUCUGUGAAGGUGCUGCAUGGUUGUCGUCAGCUCGUGCCGUGAGGUGUCGGCUUAAGUGCCAUAACGAGCGCAACCCCCUUUCCCAGUUGCCAUCGGGUGAUGCCGGGCACUCUGGGGACACUGCCACCGCAAGGUGCGAGGAAGGUGGGGAUGACGUCAAAUCAGCACGGCCCUUACGUCCGGGGCUACACACGUGUUACAAUGGCCGGUACAGAGGGACGGUGUAACGCAAGUUGCAUCCAAUCUUGAAAUCCGGUCCCAGUUCGGACUGGGGUCUGCAACCCGACCCCACGAAGCUGGAUUCGCUAGUAAUCGCGCAUCAGCCAUGGCGCGGUGAAUACGUUCCCGGGCCUUGUACACACCGCCCGUCAAGCCAUGAAAGCCGGGGGUGCCUGAAGUUC